RNAcentral lists this ribosomal RNA (395 nucleotides) under uncultured bacterium. RNAcentral describes it as "partial 16S ribosomal RNA". It matches the Rfam family "Bacterial small subunit ribosomal RNA", at positions 338 to 730 of the family's 1533-position model. The record is from RNAcentral.
CCUACGGGUGGCAGCAGUGAGGAAUAUUGGUCAAUGGGCGGAAGCCUGAACCAGCCAAGCCGCGUGAGGGAUGAAGGUACAGAGGAUCGUAAACCUCUUUUAUCAGGGAAUAAAGUGCGGGACGUGUCCCGGGAUGAAUGUACCUUAUGAAAAAGGAUCGGCUAACUCCGUGCCAGCAGCCGCGGUAAUACGGAGGAUCCGAGCGUUAUCCGGAUUUAUUGGGUUUAAAGGGUGCGUAGGCGGCCUUUUAAGUCAGCGGUGAAAGCCUGGGGCUCAACCAUGGAAUUGCCGUUGAAACUGGGAGGCUUGAGUUGGUUUGAGGCAUGCGGAAUGCGUGGUGUAGCGGUGAAAUGCUUAGAUAUCACGCAGAACCCCGAUUGCGAAGGCAGCCUGCC